GACGAACGCUGGCGGCGUGCUUAACACAUGCAAGUCGAACGGAAAGGCCCUGCUUUUGUGGGGUGCUCGAGUGGCGAACGGGUGAGUAACACGUGAGUAACCUGCCCUUGACUUUGGGAUAACUUCAGGAAACUGGGGCUAAUACCGGAUAGGAGCUCCUGCUGCAUGGUGGGGGUUGGAAAGUUUCGGCGGUUGGGGAUGGACUCGCGGCUUAUCAGCUUGUUGGUGGGGUAGUGGCUUACCAAGGCUUUGACGGGUAGCCGGCCUGAGAGGGUGACCGGCAACAUUGGGACUGAGAUACGGCCCAGCCUCCUACGGGAGGAAGCAGUGGGGAAUAUUGCACAAUGGGCGGAAGCCUGAUGCAGCAACGCCGCGUGCGGGAUGACGGCCUUCGGGUUGUAAACCGCUUUCGCCUGUGACGAAGCGUGAGUGACGGUAAUGGGUAAAGAAGCACCGGCUAACUACGUG
This 468-nucleotide ribosomal RNA is filed under the name uncultured bacterium. RNAcentral describes it as "partial 16S ribosomal RNA". It matches the Rfam family "Bacterial small subunit ribosomal RNA", at positions 28 to 507 of the family's 1533-position model. The record is from RNAcentral.